UCUGCAUUCAGUGAUAUGAAACAUGCAAGCAGUGUGGUGGCCACGCCUUCCCUUUCCUCAGUCCUUUCCUUCUACCCACGGAGGUCCAGCCUGUCAAUCACAUAGAAGCUCCGCCCCUCCAGGCUGGAACGAGGAGCUGCUCUGCUGCCUACCCUCUUGCAGCCUGACCGGAUGAUGCAGCGGAGAGAUGUAGGCUUAAAGCCUCCAGUCUGAGGAAUGUUUUGGCACCCAUGCUGUGUCGGCCGUACGAGCAUGUACCGUACUGCAGCUUGACAAUCACGCUGGGGAUUUAUUCAUUUAUAUCAUUUUGCUUUUCUGUUUGGAUUUUUCAGCUGAAUAAACAAUGGGCAAUUUGAAUUCAAAACCCCAACAUAAAAGACUGUCGAUGCAGGCUCUGCUCCUGCCAUGUGUUUGAAACCGGUGCCAAAUGUAUUUCGGAUGCAGAGCAGAGUCUAAUUCUGUGUCAGCUACAUUGUUCCAUUCAACUACAGGCUUCUUUAUACAAACUUCUCAGAAUUGAGUUUAAUGUAAAAGAUGCAUAAAGGGAUAUGUAAAACCACACAGUGAGGAAUAAAGUAAACUAUAACUAUA
Long non-coding RNA from Pseudophryne corroboree (corroboree frog), 591 nucleotides. RefSeq lists it as uncharacterized. The transcript has 2 exons. NCBI's taxonomy places the organism in Eukaryota, Metazoa, Chordata, Amphibia, Anura, Myobatrachidae. The record is from RefSeq and is a predicted model, not a curated record.